RNAcentral lists this ribosomal RNA (801 nucleotides) under uncultured bacterium. RNAcentral's name for it is "bacterial SSU rRNA". It matches the Rfam family "Bacterial small subunit ribosomal RNA", at positions 8 to 810 of the family's 1533-position model. The record is from RNAcentral.
AGAGUUUGAUCCUGGCUCAGGAUGAACGCUGGCGGCGUGCUUAACACAUGCAAGUCGAACGGGAAACUUUUCAUUGAAGCUUCGGCAGAUUUGGUCUGUUUCUAGUGGCGGACGGGUGAGUAACGCGUGGGUAACCUGCCUUAUACAGAGGGAUAACAACCAGAAAUGGUUGCUAAUACCGCAUAAGCGCACAGGACCGCAUGGUCCGGUGUGAAAAACUCCGGUGGUAUAAGAUGGACCCGCGUUGGAUUAGCUAGUUGGCAGGGUAACGGCCUACCAAGGCGACGAUCCAUAGCCGGCCUGAGAGGGUGAACGGCCACAUUGGGACUGAGACACGGCCCAGACUCCUACGGGAGGCAGCAGUGGGGAAUAUUGCACAAUGGGGGAAACCCUGAUGCAGCGACGCCGCGUGAAGGAAGAAGUAUCUCGGUAUGUAAACUUCUAUCAGCAGGGAAGAUAGUGACGGUACCUGACUAAGAAGCCCCGGCUAACUACGUGCCAGCAGCCGCGGUAAUACGUAGGGGGCAAGCGUUAUCCGGAUUUACUGGGUGUAAAGGGAGCGUAGACGGACUGGCAAGUCUGAUGUGAAAGGCGGGGGCUCAACCCCUGGACUGCAUUGGAAACUGUUAGUCUUGAGUGCCGGAGAGGUAAGCGGAAUUCCUAGUGUAGCGGUGAAAUGCGUAGAUAUUAGGAGGAACACCAGUGGCGAAGGCGGCUUACUGGACGGUAACUGACGUUGAGGCUCGAAAGCGUGGGGAGCAAACAGAAUUAGAUACCCUGGUAGUCCACGCCGUAAACGAU